This 364-nucleotide ribosomal RNA is filed under the name uncultured bacterium. RNAcentral's name for it is "bacterial SSU rRNA". It matches the Rfam family "Bacterial small subunit ribosomal RNA", at positions 28 to 391 of the family's 1533-position model. The record is from RNAcentral.
GACGAACGCUGGCGGCGUGCUUAACACAUGCAGGUCGAGCGAGGCCCACCUUUCGGGGUGGUGCCCUAGCGGCGAACGGGUGAGUAACACGUGGGCAACCUGCCCUCAGCUCUGGGAUAACUCCAAGAAAUUGGGGCUAAUACCGGAUAUGACUGCUGACCGCAUGGUCUGGUGGUGGAAAGAUUUAUCGGCUGGGGGAUGGGCCCGCGGCCUAUCAGCUUGUUGGUGGGGUAGGGCCUACCAAGGCGACGACGGGUAGCCGGCCUGAGAGGGUGGCCGGCCACACUGGGACUGAGACACGGCCCAGACUCCUACGGGAGGCAGCAGUGGGGAAUAUUGCGCAAUGGGCGGAAGCCUGACGCAG